RNAcentral lists this long non-coding RNA (2859 nucleotides) under Malus domestica (apple). RNAcentral describes it as "long non-coding RNA (MDOM_LNC015017)". Lineage: Eukaryota; Viridiplantae; Streptophyta; Magnoliopsida; Rosales; Rosaceae. The record is from RNAcentral.
CAGUCGAGUCAUCGUCUAUUUUUUAGUAUGGUACAUUUCCUUCUAGAGAGUACCUAUCGGUGGUUUUCCAUGGUCUGUCUAGGAGGUAACACAUAAGUUUGUUUAGCAAUUUCAGAGUUGAUACCAACACUUCUUUCCAAUGCACUUACAUCAAGAAAAUCCGUUGGACAAUGGGCAAGUACUAAAUGAGCGUGAGGCGUGAAGGGGAUGGACUUCAGUGGUGCAUGAUGCACUUGCAUCAAGUUAUUUUGGGCCGGUGUCUCCCACCUGUUCGAUCUUGGCGACGUCUCUGAGCCCACGUCUCGACGCUCCUGGCCUACUUCUGUCACAUCACUGCGGUUACACCCAGAGCUGGUAAAUCAAACCAGCCAUGGUCUUCACAGCUGAUCAUCUCUAUUUGAGGAAUAUGGUUGGGUUGAUUACAGAGAAAAAAUACUUCAUCAGAUAAAGUUACGUCCAUGGUAACAUACAUAUGUCGUGUUGGUGGAUGGUAACAUUGAUACCAUUUUUGUUCGGGACUAAUGCCAAGAAAAACAAACUGCAUUGCACAUGGGUCAAGUUUGCUUCGUUAAAUUUAUGGAGGUAAAUAUAGGCUACGCAGCAAAAAAAUUUGGGUUCUAAGUUUAGGGAUGAAGACAGCGUGACAUGACUGAAUAGCCUUCACCUUGCUAUUAUUACUACUUCAAACUUGAUUAACACGGUCGGGGGCUACAUUAUCCACAUAGUAAAACCCCAUCCUUUUAGUACCACGCCUAAUGAUCACCUGAGUUCGAAUAUCUUGAAGCAAUAAAAAAGGGAACAUUAGCACAACACAAUCUAACUACUCGAUGACUUGACCACUGACAAUAAAUUAUUCAAGAGUGCGGGAACAAGUAUAUAGUUGUGCCUUAGAACCCAAUCAAGUAAGUGGAACAACACCCCAAUUAGUUGUGACAGUACUGUCCCAUGGUGAGGAUGUUAUAGAUUUAAUGAGGAUUUGGUCAUAGGUCAUAAGGUUUCUGGCACCCGAAUCAAUGAUCCAACCCAUAUCAGAAGUGGUCAUAUUACCUGCAUCUUCAAAAAGAAUUAUUUGAAGAGAUCAUGUUGAGAAGUGAAAGUGUUUGCACUCAAAAUAUACCCAUUUUUACUUAUUUGGGCAAUUUGGGUAAAAUAUGGCAUUUGGAGGAUUAAUGAGCAAGAAGACUAACUUUGAAGAUAUUUAGCUAUUAAGUGGAGGGGUUUAACACUAUAAUAUUGUUUCACCCAUUUGUUUGGGUGGUGGAAGUUUGUCAAGCCUUUGUUUAAUCAACAAAUUGCAUGCUUGCAAAAGGGUUGGAAGGCAACAUACGGAUGUGGAUGCAAAGAACAUGUGAAAGAAGCCAACUUGCUUAUUUUAAAUGUUAGUUUAUUACAAGUGGGAAAACAUGUGAUGAAAGCAUGUGGUGGAAAUGCAAGUUCCCUUUUUAAUAUUAUUUCUCCAUACAAGUUGGCAAGUGAAAUGCAAGCUGCCCAAGCUUCUUUCGAGCAAGUGUAAUGUCCUCAGCAAAGGGGCUCUUCCAGAUCUCUAUAUAAAGAAGCAGAUGGAGAAGGAUUAUAGACACUCAAAACAACCAAUCAAAACUCUACUCAAAUUAGCUCAUCAGCUUCCUUGUAGACAAUUAUUUUUAGCCAAGCAUCAUUUGCCUUUCUUGUUUAUUAGCUAUGCUACUCACUUGUAGUAUCGAUCUUAUUUUUAGCUUUUAUGUACAACCCUCUUUCAGUCAUUUAAUCUACAAGCAAUCUGCAAUAUUAGUCACUUUCCUCUGUCAUUUAUAUUUCCAAGUAACCUUGUCAUUUACAUAUUGUUCUAUUUCUCCAUAUAAGUAAAGUCCUUAUUUUUAAGGCAAACAAAGAACUUUAAUUUGAGUAACUCCCACUCAAUGGCACAAUCUCUUGGUUCGAAGUCAAACUCAGGCGCAACCUCAAUCAUUCAAAUCCCGUCUACUAGCGGCAUCUAGUAGUGGUACUCCCGCACCCCACCAAUCUCGUAUGUGAGCAAAUCCCAGGCAUGCCCGCAAGGCCCAUGACGGAUUUAGGGAGCGAACAGAAAGUAGUGUAGUUAAAUCAUCUCGAUGCACAUCUUGCUCCGGUCCCGCUAAUGGAGUUCGGACAUCACUCUAGCUUGGUGAGUUAGGUCAACAUCGAGCCCAACAUGGCUAGCAGCUACGACAACAACUCCUGACCCAAUUUUUGCGAGUUUGGCUUAUGCUGGACGUUUGUGAGCCUUUCCCUUGUUUUUCUUUCUUCUCUUCAUGAACUAAUCUAGAUAACCAUGGAUUUCGAAGCAUGUUUCUUUCGUGUGACGAAUUCCAUUGCAGUGGCUGCACCAAAGCUUAUCAUUUUCAACUUCAUCCAAAUCCUCAAAGAAUGCAGAGGUCCUGUUGAGGGAGACUUAUUGACCAUGGUCAUAGAAGAACUACUGUCAGCAUUUUUACCGCCAAGAAUAGUAGUUUUUCAUCGUGCUUUACGCUAAACGGUGUUGAAGCACUAUUCUAUUACUAGGACCAGCUUCAUAGGGAGAAGGUUGCUCUGAAUUGGAUCGAACACAUCAUCAAGUCCUACGAAAAAAUCAUACACCCGAUCUUUUUUAAGUUCGUCUUUCGGGGUCUUCAAAUCAGCAGCAUACACCAUCUUAUUUGGACGCCGUUUAUCCAUCUCCUACGACACGUUUUUCAACUCCACUAAAUAAAUGAUUUACUGGACACCUACUUUGCUUUGUCCUCGUUGUCUUGUAUCAAAACUUGUAAUAUUGAGAUUGAUCAACCCCGUCAUAAAACAUUUGGGUGACAUUAUUCCAAAUGUUCUUGGUUGUUUGCAAUUUGAUGAACAUCCCAAGAAUAU